This 428-nucleotide ribosomal RNA is filed under the name uncultured bacterium. RNAcentral describes it as "bacterial SSU rRNA". It matches the Rfam family "Bacterial small subunit ribosomal RNA", at positions 354 to 774 of the family's 1533-position model. The record is from RNAcentral.
GUGGGGAAUUUUGGACAAUGGGCGCAAGCCUGAUCCAGCCAUGCCGCGUGCAGGAUGAAGGCCUUCGGGUUGUAAACUGCUUUUGUACGGAACGAAAAGGUGCCUUCUAAUAAAGGGCGCUCAUGACGGUACCGUAAGAAUAAGCACCGGCUAACUACGUGCCAGCAGCCGCGGUAAUACGUAGGGUGCGAGCGUUAAUCGGAAUUACUGGGCGUAAAGCGUGCGCAGGCGGUUUUGUAAGACAGAGGUGAAAUCCCCGGGCUCAAACUGGGAACUGCCUUUGUGACUGCAAGGCUGGAGUGCGGCAGAGGGGGAUGGAAUUCCGGGUGUAGCAGUGAAAUGCGUAGAUAUGCGGAGGAACACCGAUGGCGAAGGCAAUCCCCUGGGCCUGCACUGACGCUCAUGCACGAAAGCGUGGGGAGCAAACA